CUAAUGCAAAGGGCUUUUUAUUACAUUUUCUCAAACCUGUGUGGCACUGUUCAUUUUUCACAGUGGGGCUUGUAACAAUGUUUGGUCCUAUGUCAAUCAUUUUUCUGCACUUGAACCUGUCCUGUACAACAUUCAUGUUGUGAAACACAGAGUGCCACAAAGUGUUUAGUCAAAGACACAAGUUAUUGAGGAGAAUAAUACAAAAAAAGAGAACCCACUGAUGUCAAACAGACAUAACAUAACACAGACCUGAGAGGAGAGUCCGCCAGAAUCCAUUCCCAUCUUCUUCCACAACGUGACUUAAACGCAACAUCUACAAACCACCCGUGCCAAAUUAAACAGUGAGUCUCACAGUUACUCAAUCUUAAAUUGACCUUGUGCCGAGCUCAGGAAAAUUUGCACAGACCGUUUACACAACAGUAAGGGAAAAAACAAACCUAAAGCCACUGGCCAAGGACAAAGUCAUUUUAACAGUGACUAUUCCUAUAUACUCUAACAUACACACUGUCCCUCAUACUCAGUAAGCAAGGAGUGAAAAGAGACAGACCUAAAGGGAGAGAGAAAGACAUACAUACGGAGGGAGAUUAAGGAGAUACAGUACAUUUAAACAAUAGUUUCAUAGCACUAACUUGAAUCACCCUGCGUUGUCUAUAAAAACAGGUGGCGAACAGGGACCUGCAUCAGACUAGCUGAUUGUGGUACUAAACCUUUGCUGUAAUAUGUUCAUUAAGCUGAGUUAGGCAACGGUACACGUCUAAAUUCCUCCAGACAACGUACAGACAAUGUACAGACAACGCACAGACAACACACACAUACAGGACGUACAGGUACAGACAACGUACAGACAACACACACAUACAGGACGUACAGGUACAGACAACACACACAUACAGGACGUACAGGCACAGACAACACACACAUACAGGACGUACAGGUACAGACAACACACACAUACAGGACGUACAGGUACAGACAACACACACAUACAGGACGUACAGGUACAGACAACACACACAUACAGGACGUA
This is a long non-coding RNA of Oncorhynchus tshawytscha (Chinook salmon), 1027 nucleotides long. NCBI's taxonomy places the organism in Eukaryota, Metazoa, Chordata, Actinopteri, Salmoniformes, Salmonidae. The record is from Ensembl.